AACGAACGCUGGCGGCGCGCCUAAUACAUGCAAGUCGAGCGAGAAGGUGUAGCAAUACACUUGUAAAGCGGCGAACGGGUGAGGAAUGCAUGGGUAACCUACCCUCGAGUGGGGAAUAACUAGCCGAAAGGUUAGCUAAUACCGCAUACGUUUCCGGAACUUCGGUUUCGGAAAGAAAGCAAUACCGUGGGUAUUGCGCUCCUGGAUGGGCUCAUGUCCUAUCAGCUUGUUGGUGAGGUAACGGCUCACCAAGGCUUCGACGGGUAGCUGGUCUGAGAGGACGAUCAGCCACACUGGCACUGCGACACGGGCCAGACUCCUACGGGAGGCAGCAGUAAGGAAUAUUGCGCAAUGGACGAAAGUCUGACGCAGCGACGCCGCGUGGGGGGAUGAAGGUCUUCGGAUUGUAAACCCCUUUCGGGAGGGAAGAUGGAGUGGGGUAACCACUUGGACGGUACCUCCAGAAGCAGCCACGGCUAACUUCGUGCCAGCAGCCGCGGU
Molecule: ribosomal RNA, 501 nt
Filed under: uncultured bacterium
Lineage: Bacteria
Description: bacterial SSU rRNA
Rfam family: Bacterial small subunit ribosomal RNA
Source: RNAcentral